CCUACGGGUGGCUGCAGUGAGGAAUAUUGGUCAAUGGACGCGAGUCUGAACCAGCCAUGCAGCGUGCAGGAUGACGGCCCUAUGAGUUGUAAACUUCUUUUAUAAGGGAGUAAAACCAGACACGUGUACCUUGUUGCAUGUACUGUAUGAAUAAGGAUCGGCUAACUCCGUGCCAGCAGCCGCGGUAAUACGGAGGAUCCGAGCGUUAUCCGGAUUUAUUGGGUUUAAAGGGUGCGUAGAUGGGUUGAUAAGUUAGUGGUGAAAGUUUGCGGCUCAACCGCAAAAUUGCAAUUAAUACUGGUAGUCUAGAGAACAGUUGAGGUAGGCGGAA
This 331-nucleotide ribosomal RNA is filed under the name uncultured bacterium. Its description in RNAcentral is "partial 16S ribosomal RNA". It matches the Rfam family "Bacterial small subunit ribosomal RNA", at positions 338 to 666 of the family's 1533-position model. The record is from RNAcentral.